CGUUAAGGCUGAGCUGUGAUGGGGAGAAGACAUUGUGUCUUCGAGUCGUUGAUUUCACACUGCCGAGAAAAGCCUCUAGAUAGAAAAUAGGUGCCCGUACCGCAAACCGACACAGGUAGUCAAGAUGAGAAUUCUAAGGUGAGCGAGCGAACUCUCGUUAAGGAACUCGGCAAAAUGACCCCGUAACUUCGGGAGAAGGGGUGCUCUUUAGGGUUAACGCCCAGAAGAGCCGCAGUGAAUAGGCCCAAGCGACUGUUUAUCAAAAACACAGGUCUCUGCUAAACCGUAAGGUGAUGUAUAGGGGCUGACGCCUGCCCGGUGCUGGAAGGUUAAGAGGAGUGGUUAGCUUCUGCGAAGCUACGAAUCGAAGCCCCAGUAAACGGCGGCCGUAACUAUAACGGUCCUAAGGUAGCGAAAUUCCUUGUCGGGUAAGUUCCGACCCGCACGAAAGGCGUAACGAUUUGGGCACUGUCUCAACGAGAGACUCGGUGAAAUCAUAGUACCUGUGAAGAUGCAGGUUACCCGCGACAGGACGGAAAGACCCCGUGGAGCUUUACUG
This 559-nucleotide ribosomal RNA is filed under the name Staphylococcus aureus. Its description in RNAcentral is "partial 23S ribosomal RNA". It matches the Rfam family "Bacterial large subunit ribosomal RNA", at positions 1548 to 2106 of the family's 2925-position model. Lineage: Bacteria; Bacillati; Bacillota; Bacilli; Caryophanales; Staphylococcaceae. The record is from RNAcentral.